CCCGGAGAAGCCUCCAAAAACACACCUUGGUGGCAGCAGCAAGCAGUAGAUGUAGGAACAGUAGACGACACACACGGUUGGUGCUGGUAGGGCUAGGGCUUUGACUUUUUUUUUCUUUCACACCAGCACAGGGCUUUGACUUUUUUUUUCUUUCACUUUGGGCGCUCCGCCAUUAACACAUCACAGACACAGUUGGUAGUACUAGUAGUACCGCGUGAAGUGAAGGCAGCCAAGCCAGCCAGCCGCGCGGUGGUCCAGCCUUUUCACUGCACCUCCUGCCUGGGCGUGGUGCCUGUCCUGUCCUGUGAUUUCUUUCUUCGUCCAAGAAACUGCUGCCAAGCAAGUGUUUACUAACGAUGAUCAUAUCGGUUGCAAAUUAAAAUGCAGGGUGCCGUGCCGCAAGUCCGGCGGCGUGCGGUUCACCAUCAACGGCUUCCGGUACUUCAACCUGGUGCUGAUCACGAAC
RNAcentral lists this long non-coding RNA (466 nucleotides) under Zea mays. RNAcentral describes it as "long non-coding RNA (ZMAY_LNC002864)". The record is from RNAcentral. Lineage: Eukaryota; Viridiplantae; Streptophyta; Magnoliopsida; Poales; Poaceae.